GCCGUUGUAGCUCAGUUGGGAGAGCGUCGGACUGAAGAUCCGAAGGCCGCGUGUUCAAGUCACGCCAACGGCA
This 73-nucleotide transfer RNA is filed under the name Thermoplasmatota archaeon. RNAcentral describes it as "Candidatus Thermoplasmatota archaeon tRNA-Phe". It matches the Rfam family "tRNA". Rfam says of the family: Transfer RNA (tRNA) molecules are approximately 80 nucleotides in length. Their secondary structure includes four short double-helical elements and three loops (D, anti-codon, and T loops). Lineage: Archaea; Methanobacteriati; Thermoplasmatota. The record is from RNAcentral.